GACAGAGGGUGCAAACGUUGUUCGGAAUUACUGGGCGUAAAGCGCGUGUAGGCGGCUAAGUAAGUCGGGCGUGAAAUCCCACGGCUCAACCGUGGAAGUGCACUCGAAACUGCAUAGCUAGAGUCCUGGAGAGGAAGGUGGAAUGCUUGGUGUAGAGGUGAAAUUCGUAGAUAUCAAGCGGAACACCGGUGGCGAAGGCGGCCUUCUGGACAGUGACUGACGCUGAGAGCGAAAGCGUGGGGAGCAAACAGG
Molecule: ribosomal RNA, 252 nt
Filed under: uncultured bacterium
Lineage: Bacteria
Description: partial 16S ribosomal RNA
Rfam family: Bacterial small subunit ribosomal RNA
Source: RNAcentral